RNAcentral lists this long non-coding RNA (1712 nucleotides) under Struthio camelus australis. RNAcentral's name for it is "lncRNA (ENSSCUG00000017040.1)". Lineage: Eukaryota; Metazoa; Chordata; Aves; Struthioniformes; Struthionidae. The record is from RNAcentral.
AUGGGUUUCCACUUUGCCGUUUCUGAUCUAGAUGACAUCAUAAAGCGCCACAAGAAAGAGCAAACCAAUGCCCAAGCGGCCGGGAACAGGCGGAGGCAGCAGAUCAAGAACAGGAGUUCGGCGUACUGGUAUGGGCGGCCCCGCUUCCGCACCUGGAUGCAGAGGAAUUUGCAAGGACCUAACCGCUUUAGAAGAGGCUUUGGACAACAACAGUACAAUAGGAGGCAAUUCAGGAAUGCUGCGCCCGGUCCCAGGAGAAGAGCAGCUGCUGCAUUAAAUGGAGUGAGCCCCUUAAAUCGCCAGGCAUCUGCUCAAGAGGGUAGCAAGAGCGACGACGUUUUUGCCAAAAGCGGUAGCAGCGGGCAGCCGGAGGCGCGGAGACGGCCACCGCCGGGCCUCAAGAGAUUCAGAGCAGCAGCUGCCAACACCCACGCCGCAGUGGGAAGCAGGCCUUUCGUGCUGAACAGGGGACCAGGCUUCCAGCAGAAGCGGAUGCAGCAGCGCUACUCCAAAGCCAACUUCCAGAGAGGGCAAAUGGAUGCAGUUGGAGAAGGGAAACAACCAAGGAUGAGAAGGUGGCAAGUGAAACCCAGCCCCGGAGCAGUCCUGACGGUUUCUGUGGCUAAUCCCCAGGCGAGCCAGACCAGCGCGUAAGUAAAUGCAGUGAUGUGUUAGGAUGGGAGCCCUGCAAAAGCCAUUGCAAAUCCCUUUAGCGUUGCUGCAGCUUUGCUCCUUUUACGGCGAGAGCAGGCUCAGACCCCAAACGGUUAGCGAGCGGUGUCUCUCUGCUCUUGGCUUAUCUGAAAGGAGGCUGUAAUUACCUCGUUGUUUGUUCGUUAUCCAGACUAAUGGGGAAAUGGGGAUGCUGGCGGGCCGGGCGCGGGAGCUGGCUGCUGUGGGACCGCAGCGGCUGCUGAGCCGGUGGCAUCGUCCGGGACCAGGCGACGCCGGCUUGCAGACGAUAGCGAGCGAGCUGCCUUAGCCGCCGGAACGGAUCCGGAUGGAGGUGCCCUGUGCUUCCCGCAGGCCCGGAGGCAAGCGGCCCUUCCUGAGGAGCCCCAGGCCCCCGCCGCAGGUGGCCAAGCCCCAGCCCAAGGGAGUGCUGCUGAGGUUCAACUUCCGCGCGAUGGCGAACCAGGCCACGUAUCGCCGGCACAGAGAUCACCUGCGAGCUCGUCCUGAGAGGUUGCUCCCACGAGAUCACAGGAUCAGAGAACGGCCGAGGUUGGCAGGGACCUCUGGAGAUCAUCUAGUCCAACCGCCCUGCUCCAGCAGGGUCCACCUAGAGCACAUUGCCCAGGAUCGCGUCCAGGUGGGUUUUGAACAUCUCCAAGGAGGGAGACUCCACAGCCUCUCUGGACAACCUGGUCCAGUGCUCAGCUUUUCACAGGAAAGAAGUUUUUUCUCAGGUUCAGCUGGACCUUCCUGUGGUUCGGUUUCUGCCCGUUGCCCCUUGUCCUGUCGCUGGGCACCACGGAGAAGAGUCUGGCCCCAUCCUUCGACAACCCCCCUUCAGAUACUUGUACACGUUGAUCAGGUCACCUCUCAGUCUUCUCUUCUCCAGGCCCAACAGGCCCAGCUCCCUCAGCUUUUCUUCGGAGGAGAGAUGCUCCAGUCAAUCAUCAUCUUCGUAGCCCUCCGCUGGACUCUCUCCAGUCGUGCCAUGUCCCUCUUGUACGGGGGAGCCCAGAACUGGACACAGGGAGCUGGCG